GCUGGGCAUAGUGGCAUGUGCCCAUAGUCCCAACUACUCCAGAGGCUGAGGCAGGAGGAUCACUUGAGCCCAGAAGUCAGCCUAUUCAGGCAACAUAGUGUUCAAGGCAAUAUAGUGAAACCUUUUCUCAA
RNAcentral lists this small RNA (131 nucleotides) under Marmota monax (woodchuck). Lineage: Eukaryota; Metazoa; Chordata; Mammalia; Rodentia; Sciuridae. The record is from RNAcentral.